This is an RNA transcript of Malania oleifera, 2479 nucleotides long. RefSeq lists it as uncharacterized. Lineage: Eukaryota; Viridiplantae; Streptophyta; Magnoliopsida; Santalales; Ximeniaceae. The record is from RefSeq and is a predicted model, not a curated record. The transcript has 11 exons.
GCCUAAAGGCCUAAAACCAAUUAUAAUGACGCGAUGGGGGUGGGGGAUUAAUGCGUAGCUGCGUUCGCUUUACUUCCAUGGCGGGCUCCGCGCUGCCUCGUUCUGCAUACUCUGUGCAUACCUUUCGCCCACCCUUGCCCCGAUACCGUCCAGCUCGAUGCGUGCGAUGGUCAGAGAGACUCCUCCAUGUAUUCUCUGCGGCCACUUCAACCAAAUUUAGGGCAUGGAAGUUGGACCAGCUCAAAAGAAGGUGCUGCACUGAUGCGUGUUUUGUCACCAAUGAUGACAAAUAUGGUAACAAGCAGGUUAUCGUCGUUACUCCACGAAUUUAUGAUUACGUGCUCGCCAAUGUCCGAGAGCCUGAGAUUUUGCGUCAACUUCGAGAGGAGACUGCUACUAUGCGAGGUAGUCAGAUGCAGGUAUCCCCUGAUCAGGCACAAUUGCUGGCAAUGCUUGUCCAGAUUCUUGGGGCAAAACGAUGUAUUGAAGUUGGUGUUUAUACAGGAUACUCAUCACUGGCUGUUGCUUUAGUCCUACCAGAAUCAGGUUGUUUGGUUGCUUGCGAAAGAGAUGAACAAUCUCUCGAGGUUGCAAAAAAGUAUUAUGAGCUAGCUGGCGUUUCUCACAAGGUGGAUGUGAAACAUGGACUAGCAGCAGAUACAUUAAAAUGCCUGAUUCUCAAUGGGGAAGCUUGCAGCUAUGAUUUUGCAUUUAUUGAUGCCGAGAAGAGAAUGUAUCAGGACUAUUUUGAAAUGCUGUUAAAACUGGUGAGGGUCGGAGGUGUCAUUGUAAUUGAUAAUGUCCUUUGGCAUGGAAAAGUUGCUGAUCCACUGGUGAACGAUACAAAGACCCUUAGCAUACGGAAUUUCAAUAAAAAACUAAUGGAGGACAAUCGUGUUAGCAUUAGCAUGGUACCCAUUGGAGAUGGAAUGACAAUUUGUCAGAAAAGAUGAUCUCAUAGCAUCACACAAUGUCACUGCUUGGUUCAAUGACCUACUCUCAUGAAGAGUUCAUCAUAGGUUACAUAAUUGUCUUGCAGUGUCCAGUAGCAAACAUUACAAGGUCUGGCCACAUCCAGGAGUAUCAGCAAAAUGGCAUAUUGAGGUAUUAUUGUCAUAUAAACCCAUCUUGAGUAUGGUUGACCAGCCCAUCCCAAGGAUCACUCUUUCAUGCACACAAUGCAAAAGCUCUGUAGAAACUGGCAUCGUAUGGUCCCCAAUAUGCCCGCCAGCAGCAGAAGGGGCCGAUUCUUGUUUUACGCGAUGUGACGAGAAGUGACUAGACUGCCCACAUUUUCCUUCCAAUUAUAAAGGUAAAUAUAUUGAUCAAAAUCGAAUAUGUACAAGUACACUGAGCAUACCCAGGUUAAUCAGAUAUACAUCUCACAAACAGAAAAGACAUCCCCAAGGUAGUGAUCAUCCAUUCUUCAAGUUCCUCCUAUAUCUGGAAGUGUGUAUACCUUUUAAAUUCAAAAUGCGUCAACACCCCCCAAUAAUAAUGUCAUUGAGUAGGGCAGUGCAGCAACAACUCUCAAUUCUGCAUUAUUUGAUAUAUUGCAUCUACACCAGGUCUGAAGUCAAUUUCAACUCAGGAGAGUCUAACUGCUAUUUCAAACAUCUGUUUUUAGUCUUCUCCAACAUUCAGUGGUGUCAAAUUCAAAGUCAAACCAAAGGUGUAUCAGCCAUCUACUGCAGCAUAACUCUAAUCUUCAUAGACCUUCAGUACAGUCCGUCUCUGACCACGUUACCACCAUAGUAAAUUUAAUCCCCUCUGUAUAAGCCUAAGCUCUUUAAUCUGAAUCCAGCAGCAUUGAUCAUACUUGCCAAAAUCAGAUCAGAAGUCAACUCAGGAGAGCCUUAUUGCUUCUUUGAAUCUCUGUUUUUAGACUUCCCCAACAUUCAGUGAAGCCAAUUACAGCAGCUGCAAUGAACUACAAAGACAAACCAAGCCAUUCAGGAUGCUGCAGCACAACUCUAGCAACACCCAGAACUGCACUAGUCUGAUUCUUCUCCAAAAAUCAGUGGUUCCAACUACACUCAGCUUCACUGAUGUUUUAAAAAAUAUUUUAGUCAACCCAACUGAAUACUGCAGCACAAAUUUAAUCAUCAAAGGACUACUUGUUUGCCCACCUCUGACCAAGUUCCCACCAUAAGGACUGCUGGUGAAACUCCCUCAAAACCUCAAAUCUAUGCAAAAACUGGAGUACCAAAAUGCCUCCUCCAAUCUCUGCAUUUGGUCAAACUCCACAAUUCAGUAUUGCCAGUUAAAACGGCAGAGCUUAUCAUCCAACAAUCAGUCAUGCCACCAUUUGUAAGCAAACACAGCCAGCACAGCCAUUCAGCAGCAUUUCAAUCCACUGAGCAAUCAAGAGGAAACGUAUCAAAUCUAUCAUACACUUCUCUAUAUACGUGCUUUUGUAUCACUUUCACCAACUCCUCGGAGGCAUUUGAAAACAUGAAACUACACAGUUCUGUUCUCA